Hyaena hyaena (striped hyena) is the source of this 306-nucleotide long non-coding RNA. RefSeq lists it as uncharacterized. NCBI's taxonomy places the organism in Eukaryota, Metazoa, Chordata, Mammalia, Carnivora, Hyaenidae. The transcript has 3 exons. The record is from RefSeq and is a predicted model, not a curated record.
GGUGCCAGGAGUACUGAGCAGGAGGACCACAGGGGUUGAUUCCUCGGUGCCACGGACAUGGGACAGUCAUGUGUCCAGACAGCUGUUUCCUUUACCAGAGCUUGAAUAUUGAUGACUGGAAGAAGUGCUCCAGUGGUGUGAGCUCUGCCGUGAUUGGCCUCCACCUCCCCAUCCCAUCUCUGGGCAGACUUUGCAGUAGGAGAGGAAACAAUAGCAUGCCUGAGUUGUUGAUUCAUCGAAGAGCAACUAGAAAUAUUAUGACAACAGAAUCUUUUACAUGCUAAAUAAGAGGACAAGAAGGACCAC